RNAcentral lists this ribosomal RNA (301 nucleotides) under uncultured bacterium. RNAcentral's name for it is "partial 16S ribosomal RNA". It matches the Rfam family "Bacterial small subunit ribosomal RNA", at positions 509 to 807 of the family's 1533-position model. The record is from RNAcentral.
CAGUAGCCGCGGGAAUACGGAGGGUGCAAGCGUUAAUCGGAAUUACUGGGCGUAAAGCGCACGCAGGCGGUCUGUCAAGUCAGAUGUGAAAUCCCCGGGCUUAACCUGGGAACUGCAUUUGAAACUGGCAGGCUAGAGUCUUGUAGAGGGGGGUAGAAUUCCAGGUGUAGCGGUGAAAUGCGUAGAGAUCUGGAGGAAUACCGGUGGCGAAGGCGGCCCCCCGGACAAAGACUGACGCUCAGGUGCGAAAGCGUGGGGAGCAAACAGGAUUAGAUACCCGAGUAGUCCCUGUCUCUUAUAC